RNAcentral lists this transfer RNA (67 nucleotides) under Phasianella solida. RNAcentral describes it as "tRNA-Arg". Lineage: Eukaryota; Metazoa; Mollusca; Gastropoda; Trochida; Phasianellidae. The record is from RNAcentral.
AGGUAGGAAGUGAGAGUCACAGUCGGUUUCGGCCCGUUUUUUGAUAGUGCAAAUCUGUCCCUAUCAA